Small nuclear RNA from Leptonychotes weddellii (Weddell seal), 146 nucleotides. RefSeq annotates it as U4 spliceosomal RNA. The record is from RefSeq and is a predicted model, not a curated record. Lineage: Eukaryota; Metazoa; Chordata; Mammalia; Carnivora; Phocidae.
AGCUUUGCGCAGUGGCAGUAUCGUAGCCAAUGAGGUUUAUCCGAGGCGCGAUUAUUGCUAAUUGGAAUGUAUCCCCUGUAAGUUUUUCCUCUUUUCCAUUUUCAUCCUCUAUCACUUGUUUUCUUCUUUGUAAGAAGCUCUUGCUU